This is a long non-coding RNA of Micropterus salmoides (largemouth bass), 865 nucleotides long. RefSeq lists it as uncharacterized. The record is from RefSeq and is a predicted model, not a curated record. NCBI's taxonomy places the organism in Eukaryota, Metazoa, Chordata, Actinopteri, Centrarchiformes, Centrarchidae. The transcript has 2 exons.
CUAUAUAGUGUAAGAUGAACAAAACAGGAGGACUGUACUAGCUGACUCUUAUGUUGACCAUUCACUCCGGUCAGAAUGCAGCUGACGGGACCUCAGUGUUCAUUCUCUGCACUUUAUUAAUCACAUUGGAGGCAGAGCAGAACACAGGGCACUUAAACAGACUUUAGGUUUAGAUUUGUGAACUUGUGAAAUACAACAGAAAUAAAUAAUAAAGUUUAGUGCAUAUACAUAGCAGAACAUUCACCAUUAUGUACACGGGUUCCCUCAGGUUAACGUAUUCGUAACAGAGGAACAAUGACAUUCACAUCACCUGCUCUCCUGUUCAAACAUACUGUAGGUAAAGAUCACCUUCUAGUCUAUAUUACUGUAACACCCUCUUGAUCGUGACCCGGGCUGGUGGCUGUGUGUGUGUGUGUGUGUGUGUGUGUGUGAGUGGCUUUUGAUUUGCCUUUUGGGUGUUUGCUGUGUGCUUGGUGGGUUUUGUUUUUGUCUGUCUUCUCUUCCAUGUCUCCUGGAGCUGGUGGGCGUGGUCUCCAGUUCACUACGGCUGUCGCACACUUGUUCUCUGUCUCAAUCAAGCACCUGUUCUGCAUUCACUCAUCACCGCUCACUACUUAACCCUGGCCAGAUCUCCAGUCCUUCUCAGAUCGUUGUGUAACCUGAGAAAUUCGCCCUGUUCCCCCUGGGUUACCUGUCCUCCCCACCAGCCUGCACAGUCGUCAGGAGUAAUCCCCACCUCCCCCCGCCUGCCAGCUCCCACAACUUCUCCCUCCUCAACGGAACCCGGACCUUUCCCCGAUCCCCCUCAGCUCACCUAUUCCCUCUCUGUUCGUUGUAACCUAAAACCAUAAACCUCUUAAAUUCA